This 254-nucleotide long non-coding RNA is filed under the name Mytilus galloprovincialis (Mediterranean mussel). Lineage: Eukaryota; Metazoa; Mollusca; Bivalvia; Mytilida; Mytilidae. The record is from RNAcentral.
ACUUUGCCGAUCAUUUUUGCUGUUUACAGUUUAUCUUUAUCUAUAAUAAUAUUCAAGAUAAUGACCAAAAACUGCAAAAUUUCCUUAAAAUUACUAAUUAAGUGGCAGCAACCCAACAAUGGUUUGUUUGAUUCAUCUGAAAAUAUCAGGGCUGAUAGAUCUUGACCUAAUGAACAUUUUUACCCCGAGUCAGAUUUGCUCUAAAUGCUUUCGUUUUUGAGAUAUAAGACAAAAACUGCAUUUGACCCCUAUGU